Molecule: ribosomal RNA, 1091 nt
Filed under: Streptomyces sp. SID5475
Lineage: Bacteria; Bacillati; Actinomycetota; Actinomycetes; Kitasatosporales; Streptomycetaceae
Description: partial 23S ribosomal RNA
Rfam family: Bacterial large subunit ribosomal RNA
Source: RNAcentral
AGAUUAAGUUAUUAAGGGCGCACGGUGGAUGCCUUGGCACUAGAAGCCGAUGAAGGACGUUACUAACGACGAUAUGCUUUGGGGAGCUGUAAGUAAGCUUUGAUCCAGAGAUUUCCGAAUGGGGAAACCCAGCAUGAGUUAUGUCAUGUUAUCGAUAUGUGAAUACAUAGCAUAUCAGAAGGCACACCCGGAGAACUGAAACAUCUUAGUACCCGGAGGAAGAGAAAGAAAAUUCGAUUCCCUUAGUAGCGGCGAGCGAAACGGGAAGAGCCCAAACCAACAAGCUUGCUUGUUGGGGUUGUAGGACACUCUAUACGGAGUUACAAAGGACGACAUUAGACGAAUCAUCUGGAAAGAUGAAUCAAAGAAGGUAAUAAUCCUGUAGUCGAAAAUGUUGUCUCUCUUGAGUGGAUCCUGAGUACGACGGAGCACGUGAAAUUCCGUCGGAAUCUGGGAGGACCAUCUCCUAAGGCUAAAUACUCUCUAGUGACCGAUAGUGAACCAGUACCGUGAGGGAAAGGUGAAAAGCACCCCGGAAGGGGAGUGAAAUAGAACCUGAAACCGUGUGCUUACAAGUAGUCAGAGCCCGUUAAUGGGUGAUGGCGUGCCUUUUGUAGAAUGAACCGGCGAGUUACGAUUUGAUGCAAGGUUAAGCAGUAAAUGUGGAGCCGUAGCGAAAGCGAGUCUGAAUAGGGCGUUUAGUAUUUGGUCGUAGACCCGAAACCAGGUGAUCUACCCUUGGUCAGGUUGAAGUUCAGGUAACACUGAAUGGAGGACCGAACCGACUUACGUUGAAAAGUGAGCGGAUGAACUGAGGGUAGCGGAGAAAUUCCAAUCGAACCUGGAGAUAGCUGGUUCUCUCCGAAAUAGCUUUAGGGCUAGCCUCAAGUGAUGAUUAUUGGAGGUAGAGCACUGUUUGGACGAGGGGCCCCUCUCGGGUUACCGAAUUCAGGCAAACUCCGAAUGCCAAUUAAUUUAACUUGGGAGUCAGAACAUGGGUGAUAAGGUCCGUGUUCGAAAGGGAAACAGCCCAGACCACCAGCUAAGGUCCCAAAAUAUAUGUUAAGUGGAAAAGGAUGUGGCGUUGCCCA